Molecule: ribosomal RNA, 154 nt
Filed under: Cordyceps tenuipes
Lineage: Eukaryota; Fungi; Ascomycota; Sordariomycetes; Hypocreales; Cordycipitaceae
Description: 5.8S ribosomal RNA
Rfam family: 5.8S ribosomal RNA
About the family: 5.8S ribosomal RNA (5.8S rRNA) is a component of the large subunit of the eukaryotic ribosome. It is transcribed by RNA polymerase I as part of the 45S precursor that also contains 18S and 28S rRNA.
Source: RNAcentral
AAACUUUCAACAACGGAUCUUCUUGGUUCUGGCNUCGAUGAAGAACGCAGCGAAAUGCGGAUACGUUAAUGUGAAUUGCAGAAUUCCGUGAAUCAUCGAAUCUUUGAACGCACAUUGCGCCCGCCANCAUUCUGGNGGGCAUGCCUGUUUNAGC